GCCUGAACUUAAGGAGGUUCUUGGGUGACUUAUGUACAUCAAAGUUCAAGAGGCAACACACUGAGAAAGGGACUUUCAGGUGGCUGUCUGCCUGGUGGGUGAGAGGAAAUGGCAGCUCAGAGAAUUCUAGAAAAAGGAGGGGAGGGUUUGCCUGUGGUUGUUUGCAGCGGCUCCUGGCGCAAGCCAGCCAGCAAGACAAACAUUGGGGUCGAUUGUUGGCAUCUGCUCCCAGGUGAACCAGCUCAGGCACAUUUUAAACCGUCAAGUCUGAAAUGAUGGAAAGGCACCGCUUCAUAAUCGUUUUGGCUCCUGCGGUAUCUGUUCAAUAUCGGUGCUCAGCGUAACCAAGAAUCAUUCCUGCUGUGCUGCCGAGGGAGAAGACCUUCACUUCUGGAUUUAUUUCAGCUGUUUAGGGAGAGACGUUCAAUGAUCUUGAUUUCCCCGAGGGAGAGGGAAGCUGGCCUUGGAAACAUUUUCUCUGCCUUCUCUUUCGAAAUCCGCCUCAGGGGACCACAUGGCCACCACUUCCCACAGAGAUGGAGGGAGAAAUCCUGCCAGUUUGGAAGGUGAGAGAUGCCGGCCUCUCUCCCAUCUCUUGCUGCUUCCAGAAACUACUGGGGACUCCUGGGGACAAGUGGAGGAGCCUGUGUGCUGGGUGAACAGUUGCUCCUGGCAAGGGGAGAUGCUUACACUCCGCUGGCCUCAGGACCCCAAAUGGCGGGUGAUUUUCUGAGUCCAGAUCCUUUCUUGGAUUCUGCAUCCCCAUCUCUUAGGGAGCAGAAGAGAAACAUCCAUUUCCAAAGUGAUAUUCUGUCAAAGCAGCUGCGACAGCACAGAUAACACGCUUCCUUGUUCUCAGUUGACUGUGUGGCUUUUUAAAAAUAAACAAGGAGGACCUCCUAGGGGGCAGAAAGAUUUGGAUUCAUUAAUACUGUAUCACUUUAUCUUCGACAUCAGCAUCGUUUUCAUUUUCUUCAGCAGCCUCAAGGCCACCUCAAAAGGCAGGUUUCUGACUGAUUUAAAGAAACCUCAGAGGCAGUAGAUGUGUUUCCCUCCAUCUGCCCCAACGUCCUUUCCAGCCCUCCCCUCUGCCCGCACCACACCCGUCAGGGUACCAAGCCUCCCCCCACCCCCAUCGCUUCCUAAGGAAGUGGGUUCUGCAGGUCGGUGGACCUUGACAUCCCAGAAAGGUGAGAAGUUGGGUGGUACCCACACAAAGCGGGUGCAGAGCCUGGGGAGAAGGCCUCCCGUGUCCGCCCUGCUCUGGGCCUCUCAGCUCCGCCCUGUGUUUAUUGCUCUGAUCAGUGUCUUCCCUUUCACGCCACUCAGUGAGAGAGACAGGGACUGUGUGAGAUGAACUUUCCUGCCUGCUGGGCAUAGAUCCAACAGAAGCUGGUGUGGUCUGACUCCUUCCCAGGCAGCAAGCAGGUCACCCCAAGCCUCGUCAUUCCUCAAGAUGGAGAUGGGAAAAGCCUGGGAAGAUUCCAGAGGAAGAGCAGAGUUCUGGAAACUCAACCCCGGGGAGUCAUGGCCUGAGGGGGAUGGGUCCUCGGGACCAACCCAGACCCAUGAUCUCAAGGGAACCUUCAGUUCAUGGAAGGCAGCAGAUCCCUCUCCACCACCAUUCCCCCGGGCUGUGCCCCAGGCGUAGCUCCCUAUACUCCUCUCCCAGUUGUCACACUGUCCCGCCUCACUCCCACUGGGCAAUGCUCAAUGGCCCAGGGGAACUCCAUAGGCUGUGCCUGGCUGUUUUUGUCCAAAUCUCUGUGCUCUCCCCAAGAAUCUCCUACAGCAUUGCUGCCACUGCUCCCACCACCACCACGGUGAGCCCGCGCCCUUCCACCACUCACCUGCCCAUCUUCCCAGUAGCCCGCUUUCCUGCAAGAGGGGAUCCCUUCUUCCCGUUACAAUAGGGCCUCUGACUCCAGCAUCCUAGCGCACCUGUGUACUGACUGAGGACCCGGGAGCCUGGAAUUCAUAUGGAGUUAAUUGCUCUCGACAGCUGGACCGGCUUCUUGUUGAGGCCCCACAUCUCAUUUCUUGAAGCCAUAGACACAUGGCCCCAGCAAUGUCCCUGUGAGCAGUCUAUAUACGGCCAGGAGCAUAAGUACUUUGUGAAAUGCUGCAACUGUUGCAAAUAUAUUUUCUAAUGCUCGCAGAAGACAUUAACAUUUUCCACAGAAGAAAAAUGCCCAAAGUUUGCUUAUAAUUGUCUUCAUUCCUAUUAUCCUCACUCUUAAUGAUGCCAUUUCACUCUUUUGCAUUUUACUAUUUCAUUUAUUGAGAAACAAUUUUGUCAUUUGGGUAC
Molecule: long non-coding RNA, 2308 nt
Organism: Equus caballus (horse)
Lineage: Eukaryota; Metazoa; Chordata; Mammalia; Perissodactyla; Equidae
Source: Ensembl